CGGCAGGCUUAACACAUGCAAGUCGAGGGGCAGCACGGGUAGCAAUACCUGGUGGCGACCGGCGCAAGGGUGCGUAACGCGUGAGCAACAUGCCCUAUACAGGGGGAUAAUCCAGGGAAACUUGGUCUAAUAUCCCAUAGUAUUUAGAGGAGGCAUCUUCUAUAAAUUAAAGCUUCGGUGGUAUAGGAUUGGCUCGCGUGACAUUAGCUAGAUGGUGAGGUAACGGCUCACCAUGGCAAUGAUGUCUAGGGGUUCUGAGAGGAAGGCCCCCCACACUGGGACUGAGACACGGCCCAGACUCCUACGGGAGGCAGCAGUGAGAAAUAUUGGACAAUGGAUGGAAAUCUGAUCCAGCCAUGCCGCGUGCAGGAAGACAGCCCUAUGGGUUGUAAACUGCUUUUAUAUGGGAGCAAUAAGGUCUACGUGUAGACUGAUGAGAGUACCAUAUGAAUAAGCAUCGGCUAACUCCGUG
This 472-nucleotide ribosomal RNA is filed under the name uncultured bacterium. RNAcentral's name for it is "bacterial SSU rRNA". It matches the Rfam family "Bacterial small subunit ribosomal RNA", at positions 40 to 507 of the family's 1533-position model. The record is from RNAcentral.